Leptosomus discolor (cuckoo roller) is the source of this 563-nucleotide non-coding RNA. Lineage: Eukaryota; Metazoa; Chordata; Aves; Leptosomiformes; Leptosomidae. The record is from RefSeq and is a predicted model, not a curated record.
CGCAGUCGGAGUCGUGGUAGGAGGUCUAGGUCAGCUUCCUACCGCAGGUCCAGGUCAGUCUCUCCUAGAAGGUAUAGAUCGUUUUCACCCCGCAGGUCUCGGUCUGGUUCUUUAAGGAGAUCAAGAUCUAGGUCCAGAUCACGCUCAAGGUCCCGGUCUGUUGUAUGGCCUCGAAGCAGGUCUGGGUCCCAUGGUAGAUCUAAAUCUGGCUUACCUGCUAAAAGUCGCUCGAAGUCCAGAUCACCAUCUCCAAAGAGAAGUCACUCACCAUCAGGAAGCCCUUGAAGGAGUACAAGUCCGGAAAGAAUGGAUUCGAAUUUAAAAAGUUUAAGAAGAAAAUUUAUUUUGUUUACAUUAUUAUAAGGGAUUUUGUGGUGUCUUUAUAAAUGUAAGGGCUUAGUCCUAGAAGGAUGUUUCUCUUGACUAACAAUUGGCAUGAAUCUGGAUCUCUUAAAAGUCUUAAGAGUAGACUAAUGCAAGACUUUUGUUGUGUUAACGUUCUGUGAUUUGGAGAUGUUGGGCUUUUUUUAUUGGUGCAUUGAAAUAAACUGUGCAUUUCUAAC